This 61-nucleotide transfer RNA is filed under the name Corvus brachyrhynchos (American crow). It matches the Rfam family "tRNA", at positions 7 to 64 of the family's 71-position model. Rfam says of the family: Transfer RNA (tRNA) molecules are approximately 80 nucleotides in length. Their secondary structure includes four short double-helical elements and three loops (D, anti-codon, and T loops). Further hydrogen bonds mediate the characteristic L-shaped molecular structure. tRNAs have two regions of fundamental functional importance: the anti-codon, which is responsible for specific mRNA codon recognition, and the 3' end, to which the tRNAs corresponding amino acid is attached (by aminoacyl-tRNA synthetases). tRNAs cope with the degeneracy of the genetic code in two manners: having more than one tRNA (with a specific anti-codon) for a particular amino acid; and 'wobble' base-pairing, i.e. permitting non-standard base-pairing at the 3rd anti-codon position. Lineage: Eukaryota; Metazoa; Chordata; Aves; Passeriformes; Corvidae. The record is from Rfam by way of RNAcentral.
UUAGCUCAAUUGGUCAGAGCAUGGUGCUAAUAACACCAAGGUCGUGGGUUUGAUACCCAUA